This is a non-coding RNA of Xyrichtys novacula (pearly razorfish), 564 nucleotides long. NCBI's taxonomy places the organism in Eukaryota, Metazoa, Chordata, Actinopteri, Labriformes, Labridae. The record is from the annotation of a GenBank genome assembly.
CAGUUUUUAGGAGAAAUCUUGAAUGUAAACUCUACCCCUCCCAACCAGUUUUCCCCUCAGCUCCUCCUCUCCCCUCCCUCUCUGCUCCAGCAAGCCCCGCCCACAAACAGACGCUCCUGCUCGCUCGUAUCGUUCCAAUUAAAUUCAGAUAUAAUGCAGAUAAAUACUUCAGAUCAUUACAAAUGGGGCCCAGUCAAGGUGAAAGUCAAAAGCAUUGGUGCUACUGUAGAUGCCAACAGACUACCAGCAAACACAAUGUUUGCAGGACUUCUACAACAAGGAUAAAGUGACAUAGUCCAGGACCCGAGGGAGGACAGUUUAGCGAUGGCGCUACAACACGCUACAGCAGGUCCGUUUGACAAGAAACACUUCUGUUACAGACACUUGUCUUACUUUGUUAAAGCGGUUUACCUGUCCAGCAGAAAGGUUACAGGGUCACCAAGAUCCCCAAGCGUCCCCCAUUGUUUAUGUUGACCCGGCUUUUUAGCUCUUGUCCGGUCUACCUCCGUUUUAAGCGCCCGUUAUUCCUCCAGAGUCUCCGGUAUUUACUUUGUUUUCUUGCUU